Molecule: ribosomal RNA, 491 nt
Filed under: uncultured bacterium
Lineage: Bacteria
Description: partial 16S ribosomal RNA
Rfam family: Bacterial small subunit ribosomal RNA
Source: RNAcentral
GUGAACGCUGGCGGUAGGCCUAACACAUGCCCGUCGAACGGCAGCACAGUAAGAGCUUGCUCUUACGGGUGGCGAGUGGCGGACGGGUGAGGAAUACAUCGGAAUCUACUUUUUCGUGGGGGAUAACGUAGGGAAACUUACGCUAAUACCGCAUACGACCUACGGGUGAAAGCGGGGGAUCUUCGGACCUUGCGCGAUUGAAUGAGCCGAUGUCGGAUUAGCUAGUUGGCGGGGUAAAGGCCCACCAAGGCGACGAUCCGUAGCUGGUCUGAGAGGAUGAUCAGCCACACUGGAACUGAGACACGGUCCAGACUCCUACGGGAGGCAGCAGUGGGGAAUAUUGGACAAUGGGCGCAAGCCUGAUCCAGCCAUACCGCGUGGGUGAAGAAGGCCUUCGGGUUGUAAAGCCCUUUUGUUGGGAAAGAAAAGCAGCAGGUUAAUACCCCGCUGUUCUGACGGUACCCAAAGAAUAAGCACCGGCUAACUUCGUG